This 89-nucleotide transfer RNA is filed under the name Erythrotrichia foliiformis. RNAcentral describes it as "tRNA-Ser". It matches the Rfam family "tRNA". Rfam says of the family: Transfer RNA (tRNA) molecules are approximately 80 nucleotides in length. Their secondary structure includes four short double-helical elements and three loops (D, anti-codon, and T loops). Lineage: Eukaryota; Rhodophyta; Compsopogonophyceae; Erythropeltidales; Erythrotrichiaceae. The record is from RNAcentral.
GGAGAGGUGGCCGAGUGGUUGAAGGCGCAACAUUGGAAAUGUUGUUUAGAGAGAAAUUUUUAACGAGGGUUCGAAUCCCUUCCUCUCCU